Molecule: ribosomal RNA, 424 nt
Filed under: uncultured bacterium
Lineage: Bacteria
Description: partial 16S ribosomal RNA
Rfam family: Bacterial small subunit ribosomal RNA
Source: RNAcentral
AAUUUUGGACAAUGGGGGAAACCCUGAUCCAACCAUCCCGCGUGUAUGAUGAAGGCCUUCGGGUUGUAAAGUACUUUUGGCAGAGAAGAAAAGGUAUCCCCUAAUACGGGAUACUGCUGACGGUAUCUGCAGAAUAAGCACCGGCUAACUGCGUGCCAGCAGCCGCGGUACUACGUAGGCUGCAAGCGUUAAUCGGAAUUACUGGGCGUAAAGCGUGAGUAGGCGGUUCGGACAGAAAGAUGUGAAAUCCCAAGGCUCAAACUUGGAACUGCAUUUUGAACUGCCGAGCUAGAGUAUGUCAGAGGGGGGUAGAAUUCCACGUGUAGCGGUGGAAUGCGUAGAUAUGUGGAGGAAUACCGAUAGCGAAGGCAGCCCCCUGGGAUAAUACUGACGCUCAGACACGAAAGCGUGGGGAGCAAACAGG